AGCUGGUCCAAAGGUAGUGAGUUAUCUCAGCUGGUUGUUCAGUCUGUUCUAGAUUGAACUCUUGUUCUACUCUUUCCCUCCUUCUCACUACUGCACUUGACUAGUCUUAA
Molecule: unclassified non-coding RNA, 110 nt
Organism: Cercocebus atys (sooty mangabey)
Lineage: Eukaryota; Metazoa; Chordata; Mammalia; Primates; Cercopithecidae
Rfam family: Y RNA
About the family: Y RNAs are components of the Ro ribonucleoprotein particle (Ro RNP), in association with Ro60 and La proteins. The Y RNAs and Ro60 and La proteins are well conserved, but the function of the Ro RNP is not known. In humans the RNA component can be one of four small RNAs -- hY1, hY3, hY4 and hY5.
Source: Ensembl